Molecule: unclassified non-coding RNA, 1772 nt
Filed under: uncultured fungus
Lineage: Eukaryota; Fungi
Description: sequence contains 18S rRNA gene, ITS1, 5.8S rRNA gene, ITS2, 28S rRNA gene
Rfam family: Eukaryotic large subunit ribosomal RNA (bases 802-1772)
Source: RNAcentral
GGAAGGAUCAUUUAAGAAAACUUGAAUGUUGAAUUGUGGUUGUAUUGGUUGACUUUAUUGUUUUCCAUCCCGCUCUUCUUCAUUUAAAUAUUUCAUUAAUACACCGACAAUUUUGUUGUCGUCUGUUUUGGGGAUUAUAGUUUUUUUUUUCCAUCUCUUGCUUUUUUUUUUUGUUUUGCCUUGCUCUCUCUUUGCUUGCUUGUUUGAUUUUUCGGUGAUGGGUAACAUUAUCGAAUAUUGAUGAAUUUUGCUUGUGUUGAAUUUAUGGGAGUUUGGAUAUUUUGGGUUCCCCGAACGAGGUCUAAACACCUUGUUUAUAACCAAAAAAAAAUAGAUGUUUUUAGAAUCCGAGUUAUGUAAGUGAUUGUUUGUUUCCGAAUGGAAAAAACAUUUGUAACAACUUUCAGCAAUGGGAUCUCUUGGCUCUCGCAUCGAUGAAGAACGUAGCAAAUUGCGAUAUUUAUUGUGAACUGCAGAAUUAGUGAAUCAUCGAGUCUUUGAACGCAUCUUGCGCCCUGGGGCUAUUCCCCUGGGCAUGCCUGUUUGAGGGUUAUAAAAACACAUCAUACCCCAAUAUUGGGAAACAUUAUUGAGUCGGUUUAUGGUGGUGGUGGUUGCUCCCCCUCGUCGGGGGGCUCUACUGAAACACAAGUGGCCUGCGACUUAUUUGUAAGAGUCUAGGAUAUGAGAUAAAAUGACGUUAUAAUUGAUUAUUCGUCGUUUGACUCUGUUCCACAUCUUUAAUUAGAUGCUCGUUCGAAUAUCGUAAACACUAAGAAAGCACCCAUAUUUUAUAAUUUUUAACCUCAAAUCAGGUAGGACUACCCGCUGAACUUAAGCAUAUCAAUAAGCGGAGGAAAAGAAAAUAACAAUGAUUCCCCUAGUAACGGCGAGUGAAGUGGGAAAAGCUCAAAUUUAAAAUCUGGCAGCUUUGCUGUCCGAGUUGUAAUCUAGAGACAUAUUGUCAGUGUUGGUACCACAUAGAAGUCUGCUUUCAAGCAGCAUCAUAGAGGGUGACAAUCCCGUAUGAUGUGGGUUUAUCGAUGCAUAUUGGCAAGUGUUCAAAGAGUCGAGUUGUUUGGGAAUGCAGCUCUAAAUGGGUGGUAAAUUCCAUCUAAAGCUAAAUAUUGGCGAGAGACCGAUAGCGAACAAGUACCGUGAGGGAAAGAUGAAAAGCACUUUGGAAUGAGAGUGAAACAGUACGUGAAAUUGCUGAGAGGGAAACGAUUGAGGUUAGACGUGCUGUGUGGGAUUCAGCGAGUCAAUAGAUUUGCUUAUUUUCUACUCUGGCAGGCUAGCAUCAGUUUUGUGGAUUCAUAAGGGUUUAGGAAAUGUGGCAGCUUCGGCUGUGUUAUAGUCCUAGACUGGAUUGGAUCGCAUGGGACUGAGGACUGCAGUGUGCCGCAAGGCGAGUCCCCCGGGACUGAUACACUAAGGAUGCUGGCAUAAUGGCCUUAAACGACCCGUCUUGAAACACGGACCAAGGAGUCUAACAUGCUUGCGAGUAUUUGGGUGUCAAGCCCUUGUGCGCAAUGAAAGUGAAUGUAGGUGGGAUCCUCACGGUGCACCAUCGACCGAUCCUGAGUCUCUGACGACGGAUUUGAGUAUGAGCAAGUAUGUCGGGACCCGAAAGAUGGUGAACUAUGCCUGAAUAGGGUGAAGCCAGAGGAAACUCUGGUGGAGGCUCGUAGCGGUUCUGACGUGCAAAUCGAUCGUCAAAUUUGGGUAUAGGGGCGAAAGACUAAUCGAACCAUCUAGUAGCUGGUUCCUGC